RNAcentral lists this ribosomal RNA (233 nucleotides) under uncultured bacterium. Its description in RNAcentral is "partial 16S ribosomal RNA". It matches the Rfam family "Bacterial small subunit ribosomal RNA", at positions 96 to 334 of the family's 1533-position model. The record is from RNAcentral.
UGGCGGACGGGUGAGUAAUGUCUGGGAAACAGCCUGAUGGAGGGGGAUAACUACUGGAAACGGUAGCUAAUACCGCAUAACGUCGCAAGACCAAGAGGGGACCUUCGGGCCUCUUGCCAUCGGAUGUGCCCAGAUGGGAUUAGCUAGUAGGUGGGGUAACGGCUCACCUAGGCGACGAUCCCUAGCUGGUCUGAGAGGAUGACCAGCCACACUGGAACUGAGACACGGUCCAG